AGCAAUGGGCACUUUGAAUACAGGCAGGAAGACACGGUGCCUUCCCUGAUAAACCUGCAAUCGAAACAGACAACAUACAAUGAAAGACAGGAGCUGGGAUGUGAUGAAAAGUGACAUGACCAAGCAGUGAAGUUGAGCCCAUGUUCUCCAGAAGCGCCCACCUCUGUUUUCAGUUGUGGCUGCAGAAUGGCAGAGAUUCUGGUGUAAAUCACGCUGGAUCAUUUCCAAGAAGCACUCAGUCAUGCACCAAGCAAUCAGAGAAUAAUCAUCCUUUCACAUAUUCCAUUUCAUCUGAGAACAGCGCAGAGACAUUCAAGAAGAUCACAGCUGACUAAUUUUUGACAUAGGGCCAAUUUCUGCUCCCCUCACUCAUGCGAAUAAUCUCAUUAAAGUCAGUGGGCCUGAUUGUGGCCCCCUGGGAUGGCAGAAACAGCAAGCCACCUUCUUGUGCCUCCGAGCUGUGUCCACUCGCAGCCACAGCCCCUACGUUCCCCCAAGCCAAGGAACAGUUCCCAUCUAGUGCUUCUUGUAGGUACUAGUCAGAUGUGGGUAGGAUAUCAGAGAUGAUGGAAGCUUACUUUGAAUGAGGGAGCGGAGCAGAGUGCUCCCUAUGGGGAGCAGUGGGGAGUCAGCAGCAGCAGGGUAGGGAGGGAAGGUUCGCGUGGAUGCUCUGCAUGGAGCACUACUGAGAUUCAGCAGCCACGAGGGUGUCUUAUCUGUUCCCUGGCCCGUUCCUGGGCACCAUGGUGGCUGCUCCAGCCCGUCUCAGUCCGGCUCUCGCGUCUGCUUCCCUGCACGUGCGGACCGUUUACAGGGAAUGAGGCACAGCAACAAAAACAUAGAUCAACGCCCAUAAUAUUGCCAUUGUGGGGUGCUAGUCCUACUGCCCCCUGGUUCCACCAGCCCUGGAGGAAGUGGUCUCUACCAGCUACCAGAGUAGGGUGACCAGAUGUCCUGAUUUCAUAGGGACAGUCCCGAUUUUUGGGUCUUUUUCUUAUAUAGGCUCCUAUUACCCCCCACCCCAUCCCGAUUUUUCACAUUUGCUGUCUGGUCGCCCUAUACCAGAGCUGCUCGGAAAUACAGGAGAGAGCAUAACACCACCCUGAAGGUGCCACUGUACAGUAGUGAGGUCCAGAAGACACUAUACCUCCCUGAGGAACAAUGUCUCCUGAUGGGGCAGCGUGGUUCCAUGCACCUCCUGCCUCAGGGCUGUGCCAGAGCUACUCCUACUAGGAAGGCAAGUGGGAUUCAGUCAUAAUGCUCAAUAUCCUCUUUAGAACUCAAACUUUUUAAUCUGACUUAUGAAACAACGGGCUAAUCAGACCCCACUUUUCUAAUAGUAGUAUGAAGAGAGCCUGAGACAUAAGCCUUAGUAUCAGAGGCCUGGUAUGAGGCAGGACCUGCUCACAGAAUCUGGCAAGAACAGGGCUGUUAUUGCAGAAAUACAUAUUCCUAAGAAGUGCUAAGCACAGAGCACUCAUGCAAACACAUUCUGAUAUCAAAAGUAUCUUGUCCAGAUGAAAGGGGAACGGAAAGUCCC
This is a long non-coding RNA of Mauremys mutica (yellowpond turtle), 1540 nucleotides long. RefSeq lists it as uncharacterized. Lineage: Eukaryota; Metazoa; Chordata; Testudines; Geoemydidae. The record is from RefSeq and is a predicted model, not a curated record. The transcript has 3 exons.